RNAcentral lists this ribosomal RNA (305 nucleotides) under uncultured bacterium. RNAcentral's name for it is "partial 16S ribosomal RNA". It matches the Rfam family "Bacterial small subunit ribosomal RNA", at positions 337 to 659 of the family's 1533-position model. The record is from RNAcentral.
UCCUACGGGGGGCAGCAGUGGGGGAUAUUGCACAAUGGGGGGAACCCUGAUGCAGUGACGCCGCGUGGGUGAAGAAGCGUUUCGGCGCGUAAAGCCCUGUCAGCAGGGAAGAAGAUGACGGUACCUGACCAAGAAGCCCCGGCUAACUACGUGCCAGCAGCCGCGGUAAUACGUAGGGGGCAAGCGUUAUCCGGAUUUACUGGGUGUAAAGGGGGCGCAGACGGCGAUGCAAGCCAGGAGUGAAAGCCCGGGGCCCAACCCCGGGACUGCUCUUGGAACUGCGUGGCUGGAGUGCAGGAGGGGCG